CUGUUAGAGGGGAAUAACAGUGAGAAAUCACUGCUAAUACCGCAUAUGCCAUAGUUACCACAUGGUAAUAGUGGGAAAGGAGCAAUCCGCUGACAGAUGGCCUUGCGUCUGAUUAGGUAGUUGGCGGGGUAACGGCCCACCAAGCCGACGAUCAGUAGCCGACCUGAGAGGGUGACCGGCCACAUUGGGACUGAGACACGGCCCAAACUCCUACGGGAGGCAGCAGUGGGGAAUAUUGCACAAUGGGGGAAACCCUGAUGCAGCGACGCCGCGUGAGCGAAGAAGUAUUUCGGUAUGUAAAGCUCUAUCAGCAGGGAAGAAACUGACGGUACCUGACUAAGAAGCACCGGCUAAAUACGUGCCAGCAGCCGCGGUAAUACGUAUGGUGCAAGCGUUAUCCGGAUUUACUGGGUGUAAAGGGAGCGUAGACGGAUUUGCAAGUCUGAAGUGAAAGCCCGGGGCUCAACCCCGGGACUGCUUUGGAAACUGUAGGUCUUGAGUGCUGGAGAGGUAAGUGGAAUUCCUAGUGUAGCGGUGAAAUGCGUAGAUAUUAGGAGGAACACCAGUGGCGAAGGCGGCUUACUGGACAGUAACUGACGUUGAGGCUCGAAAGCGUGGGGAGCAAACAGGAUUAGAUACCCUGGUAGUCCACGCCGUAAACGAUGACUGCUAGGUGUUGGGUGGCAAAGCCAUUCGGUGCCGCAGCUAACGCAAUAAGC
RNAcentral lists this ribosomal RNA (719 nucleotides) under uncultured bacterium. RNAcentral describes it as "bacterial SSU rRNA". It matches the Rfam family "Bacterial small subunit ribosomal RNA", at positions 130 to 865 of the family's 1533-position model. The record is from RNAcentral.